This is a long non-coding RNA of Coffea eugenioides, 868 nucleotides long. RefSeq lists it as uncharacterized. The transcript has 2 exons. Lineage: Eukaryota; Viridiplantae; Streptophyta; Magnoliopsida; Gentianales; Rubiaceae. The record is from RefSeq and is a predicted model, not a curated record.
UGCUUCUCGAUUAGGGUUUUUGCCCUUCCCCUCUUUGCUCUUGCGGGUUUUUGGCUUGUUUCUUUUUUUUGCCCCUUAAAAUUAUGGUACAGAGGAUGAUAUUGGAGCUCAGGAAGAAAGGGGUAAGAUGGAAGCGGAGCUAGAUCUGCAGGAAAUUGUGGGCAUCGCCUGGCUUGGAAAGGAACUUUAUUUUUUUUUUCUUUCUUAUUUUUAUGGGUUUUUUUAAAAAAAUUCUAUUUUCGAUCUUAAAUUUUUAGGUUUGGAGAUAGGAUGGAGAGAAUCCUUACCGAGGCCAGCCAUGCCUAUGAUUUCAUGUGGUUCCUCCAUUUCUUUUCCUUGUCCUUGAAUGGAUCUGGCAUGUUCAGCUGAGGUCAUGGACUGUCUUCUUCUUUUCCUUGUUUUUUCAUUCGUUCUAUUUUGGGUUUAGGGUUUUAGGGGCUUUGGAGUAGGAUCCUUUCCAAUUCCGGGCAUGCCGAUGAUUUCAUGUGGUUCCUCCUUUUCCUUUUCCUUACCUAGCUAUGGUUCUUUGAUCUUUGACUAUCUUGCGUGGUAAGGUAAAUGUUUCAGUUUGCAAGUCAAAAAUCAUUUGACGGGUCCCUGGCAUUCACCUGUUACAAGUUCACAAAGAGAUGAGAUAUGGCAUAAGGUGCUGCUGCCUUGGAGCGACUUGACUAUUUCUUCCAGAUUUAGGCAAUUGACAUGCUGCUAUAGGACUGGAUUUUUUUUUUCCUUUUUGCCAGAUUAACCAAUUGUAUCGUUGCUGGUGUAAUAAUUUUGUGGCAAAGAUGAUUGAAAAUGUUAAUUGGACCGCUAGUUUUGCCUUUUUCGCUAGCUUAAUAUAUGCGAGUGUGGAGUGCUAUAGAUCGAA